Molecule: ribosomal RNA, 355 nt
Filed under: uncultured bacterium
Lineage: Bacteria
Description: bacterial SSU rRNA
Rfam family: Bacterial small subunit ribosomal RNA
Source: RNAcentral
GUACGCUAUUCAGAGUUUGAUCCUGGCUCAGGACGAACGCUGGCGGCGUGCCUAACACAUGCAAGUCGAACGGAACUUUAUUGGAUGAGACUUCGGUUGAUGAAGAUAAAGUUUAGUGGCGGACGGGUGAGUAACGCGUGAGCAACCUGCCUUACAGAGGGGGACAACAGUUGGAAACGACUGCUAAUACCGCAUGAAAUAGCGAGAAGGCAUCUUCUUGCUAUCAAAGAUUUUAUCGCUGUAAGAUGGGCUCGCGUAUGAUUAGAUAGUUGGUGAGGUAACGGCUCACCAAGUCGACGAUCAUUAGCCGGACUGAGAGGUUGAACGGCCACAUUGGGACUGAGAUACGGCCCAG